AACAACAUGAAGCAGUACAAAUAGAUGGUAUCUCGCUAGCUCUUUCUGAGACCGUAAAACAUAAAUGCAGAGCACCUUCAAAGACGAAGGGCUGACUAAACAUUGUAAUUCAAGGCAAUGAAGAUCCAGUCACAGUCAUACUCAACACAGUUAAAAGCAAAGCAUAAAAAUGACAGAGGUGCUCUCUAAUUGGUGCUUUUGUAAGAGGAGGAUGACUCAACAGGAACAUAAAUAGACAGGCCCUUCGCAGAGGGAAGCAUUGAUUUGUAGAGGUGCUAGAGCUCAAGCUUUGAAAACAGAGAUAAUAAUUUUGGGUGGCAAUGCUUUCAUUGUCAACGCAAUGACUAAGAGUUCUCAACAUCUUCCACGCUACACAUACUAUAGGCAGUUCCCAAACAGAAAAGUAAAGUUUUGACUCCACCACCACCAAUCAAUCACACUCCACGGCUAGCUGAAUCCUCAGGUACCGUCCAUACCAACAUCAA
This 485-nucleotide long non-coding RNA is filed under the name Hordeum vulgare. RNAcentral describes it as "long non-coding RNA (HVUL_LNC017356)". The record is from RNAcentral. Lineage: Eukaryota; Viridiplantae; Streptophyta; Magnoliopsida; Poales; Poaceae.